Molecule: ribosomal RNA, 641 nt
Filed under: Arthrobacter sp. HPCKc-27
Lineage: Bacteria; Bacillati; Actinomycetota; Actinomycetes; Micrococcales; Micrococcaceae
Description: bacterial SSU rRNA
Rfam family: Bacterial small subunit ribosomal RNA
Source: RNAcentral
UUGGGGGGGUGCUUACACAUGCAAGUCGAACGAUGAACCGGUGCUUGCAUCGGGGAUUAGUGGCGAACGGGUGAGUAACACGUGAGUAACCUGCCCUUGACUCUGGGAUAAGCCUGGGAAACUGGGUCUAAUACCGGAUAUGACCUUCCAUCGCAUGGUGGUUGGUGGAAAGCUUUUGUGGUUUUGGAUGGACUCGCGGCCUAUCAGCUUGUUGGUGGGGUAAUGGCCUACCAAGGCGACGACGGGUAGCCGGCCUGAGAGGGUGACCGGCCACACUGGGACUGAGACACGGCCCAGACUCCUACGGGAGGCAGCAGUGGGGAAUAUUGCACAAUGGGCGCAAGCCUGAUGCAGCGACGCCGCGUGAGGGAUGACGGCCUUCGGGUUGUAAACCUCUUUCAGUAGGGAAGAAGCGAAAGUGACGGUACCUGCAGAAGAAGCGCCGGCUAACUACGUGCCAGCAGCCGCGGUAAUACGUAGGGCGCAAGCGUUAUCCGGAAUUAUUGGGCGUAAAGAGCUCGUAGGCGGUUUGUCGCGUCUGCCGUGAAAGUCCGGGGCUCAACUCCGGAUCUGCGGUGGGUACGGGCAGACUAGAGUGAUGUAGGGGAGACUGGAAUUCCUGGUGUNUUGGUGAAAAUGCC